AGUGAACGCUGGCGGUAGGCCUAACACAUGCAAGUCGAACGGCAGCACAGUAAGAGCUUGCUCUUACGGGUGGCGAGUGGCGGACGGGUGAGGAAUACAUCGGAAUCUACUUUUUCGUGGGGGAUAACGUAGGGAAACUUACGCUAAUACCGCAUACGACCUACGGGUGAAAGCAGGGGAUCUUCGGACCUUGCGCGAUUGAAUGAGCCGAUGUCGGAUUAGCUAGUUGGCGGGGUAAAGGCCCACCAAGGCGACGAUCCGUAGCUGGUCUGAGAGGAUGAUCAGCCACACUGGAACUGAGACACGGUCCAGACUCCUACGGGAGGCAGCAGUGGGGAAUAUUGGACAAUGGGCGCAAGCCUGAUCCAGCCAUACCGCGUGGGAGAAGAAGGCCUUCGGGUUGUAAAGCCCUUUUGUUGGGAAAGAAAAGCAGCAGGUUAAUACCCCGCUGUUCUGACGGUACCCAAGGAAUAAGCACCGGCUAACUUCGUG
This 492-nucleotide ribosomal RNA is filed under the name uncultured bacterium. Its description in RNAcentral is "partial 16S ribosomal RNA". It matches the Rfam family "Bacterial small subunit ribosomal RNA", at positions 29 to 507 of the family's 1533-position model. The record is from RNAcentral.